UGGGCGGUGCCCGCGUCCGGCUGGGGCCGCGCCCCGCCCCGUCCCCGGCCUAAGCGAGCUCCUCCCUCCGCCCGGCGCCGGCCUCGGUCACCGCAAACCUACUUUCCCAGAGGACACCUUCCCUGGGACCAGGGAGUGUCCUCUCGUGCCCCAGUUUAAGCAAAGGUCGUGAAAGUCUGAAUUCCUUCACCCCCGUUCCCAAACAAACCCCCACCAAGAAACUUAGGCAGCCUGCAUACCUUUCUCAUUCCCCUAGUCUUCAAAGACAGUCCUUACUUCAUUUUCCACUAAAAUCUUCUAAAGUGUUAACGAUUCUUUAGUACAAAAAAGGACACUGAGUUAUCUUGUAAAUACUUCAUGUUGGAAUCAUGAAAGCUUCCUCUUAAGGUGCUUGGUCAUCCUGACGAAGCUCAGACCACCUCGGGGUGAGGCCCUCACGUCAUCCAGUGACUAGCACCUCUCCAGGCAGCCUUCGCCUCGGUCUCGGAGCUCAGAGCUCGCCUGCAACUACUCCGCCAGACGGAGGGUAAGAUCCGGCUGUCAUUAAAGCAGCUGGUUGAAUGUGGAACCCUUCUGGCGAGGGUUGUUCGCAAAGGCCCUGACCAGUGUCAACAUCCGGAACCUCAUCUGCAAUGGGGGGGCUGGUGGACCUGCCCCAGCAGGAGGUCCGCCCCUCCCCCACUGCUGCCCCAGCGGAGAAGGAAGAAUCUGAGGAGUCCCAGGACAACGUGGGCUUGGGGCUUUUAGACUAAACCUCUUUUGUAACACAUUCAAUGAGAAGCUGAACUCUGAAAACAACACAAACAAGUAAAAUACAUGCAUUUUUUU
Long non-coding RNA from Phyllostomus discolor (pale spear-nosed bat), 828 nucleotides. RefSeq lists it as uncharacterized. The transcript is spliced from 2 exons. The record is from RefSeq and is a predicted model, not a curated record. NCBI's taxonomy places the organism in Eukaryota, Metazoa, Chordata, Mammalia, Chiroptera, Phyllostomidae.